UGGGGGAUAUUGCACAAUGGGCGAAAGCCUGAUGCAGCGACGCCGCGUGGGGGAUGAAGGCCUUCGGGUUGUAAACUUCUUUUGCUCUGAACAAGGCAUGCCUUUGGGGUGUGUUGAGUGUAGGGGUUGAUUAGCGCCGGCUAACUACGUGCCAGCAGCCGCGGUAAUACGUAGGGCGCGAGCGUUGUCCGGAAUUAUUGGGCGUAAAGGGCUUGUAGGUGGCUGGUUGCGUCCGUCGUGAAAGCUCAUGGCUUAACUGUGGGUUUGCGGUGGGUACGGGCUGGCUUGAGUGCAGUAGGGGAGGCUGGAAUUCCUGGUGUAGCGGUGGAAUGCGCAGAUAUCAGGAGGAAUACCGGUGGCGAAGGCGGGUCUCUGGGCUGUUACUGACGCUGAGGAGCGAAAGCGUGGGGAGCGAACAGG
This 420-nucleotide ribosomal RNA is filed under the name Fusobacteriota bacterium. RNAcentral's name for it is "Fusobacteria bacterium partial 16S ribosomal RNA". It matches the Rfam family "Bacterial small subunit ribosomal RNA", at positions 355 to 776 of the family's 1533-position model. The record is from RNAcentral. Lineage: Bacteria; Fusobacteriati; Fusobacteriota.